Long non-coding RNA from Glycine soja, 329 nucleotides. RefSeq lists it as uncharacterized. Lineage: Eukaryota; Viridiplantae; Streptophyta; Magnoliopsida; Fabales; Fabaceae. The transcript is spliced from 2 exons. The record is from RefSeq and is a predicted model, not a curated record.
CGUUUUUGUUCUGCAACAUUCUACAGCCAUUUCUGGCAGCCUUUUAUUCCGCUAAUGGUGCUUUAAUUGGUGGGAACAAAGCUACAAGGCAUAAUAACAGAUAUGUGUUUGGAUAGUCAUGACAAAUCCCAUAUGAUCAAAGGAACUUUGCUUGUGAGGCCUAGUGACCACCUUUUCUGGUUUGGAUAAUUGGAUGUCCCAAGCUGCUACUUCAUCUUAUUAGCUUCAUAUUGUUUCAGGUUAUUCUUUAACACCGUACAAUUCUUGAUUCUUAUACUUGGAAAACAUGUAUUUAAACUCAUUAUUAGAGUAUUUUGCAUCAUGCAAAA